RNAcentral lists this ribosomal RNA (230 nucleotides) under uncultured bacterium. RNAcentral's name for it is "partial 16S ribosomal RNA". It matches the Rfam family "Bacterial small subunit ribosomal RNA", at positions 524 to 747 of the family's 1533-position model. The record is from RNAcentral.
UACGAAGGGGGCUAGCGUUGUUCGGAAUUACUGGGCGUAAAGGGCGCGUAGGCGGCAAUUCAAGUCAGCUGUGAAAUCUCCGGGCUUAACUCGGAACGGUCAGCUGAUACUGCUUUGCUAGAGUGCAGGAAGGGGCAAUCGGGAAUUCUUGGAUGUAGCGGUGAAAUGCGGUAGAUAUCAAGAGGAACACCUGGAGGUGAAGACGGGUUGCUGGGCUGACACAUGACGCU